GAUGAAGAACGCAGCGAAAUGCGAUACUUGGUGUGAAUUGCAGAAUCCCGUGAACCAUCGAGUCUUUGAACGCAAGUUGCGCCCGAAGCCGUCAGGCCGAGGGCACGCCUGCCUGGGCGUCACACGCCGUUGCCCCCCCGCGCCCCGCACCCAACUCUUUGGGAGCGACCGCGGGGCGGGCUGAUGAUGGCCUCCCGUGCGCUCCGCCGCGCGGUUGGCCCAAAUACCGAGUCCCCGGCGACGUGCGCCACGACGAUCGGUGGUUGAGAGACCUCUGUCGCAAGUCGUGCGCGCCCGUCGCGUCACGCGGGCUCGCAUAGCGCCUCGCGCCGCACCCGGUGCGGAGCUUUCAACGCGACCCCAGGUCAGGCGGGGUUACCCGCUGAAUUUAAGCAUAUCAAUAAGCGGAUGA
Molecule: unclassified non-coding RNA, 412 nt
Filed under: soil metagenome
Description: partial contains 5.8S ribosomal RNA, internal transcribed spacer 2, and large subunit ribosomal RNA
Rfam family: 5.8S ribosomal RNA (bases 1-122)
Source: RNAcentral